UAAGGGCGCACGGUGGAUGCCUUGGCACUAGAAGCCGAUGAAGGACGUUACUAACGACGAUAUGCUUUGGGGAGCUGUAAGUAAGCUUUGAUCCAGAGAUUUCCGAAUGGGGAAACCCAGCAUGAGUUAUGUCAUGUUAUCGAUAUGUGAAUACAUAGCAUAUCAGAAGGCACACCCGGAGAACUGAAACAUCUUAGUACCCGGAGGAAGAGAAAGAAAAUUCGAUUCCCUUAGUAGCGGCGAGCGAAACGGGAAGAGCCCAAACCAACAAGCUUGCUUGUUGGGGUUGUAGGACACUCUAUACGGAGUUACAAAGGACGACAUUAGACGAAUCAUCUGGAAAGAUGAAUCAAAGAAGGUAAUAAUCCUGUAGUCG
This 376-nucleotide ribosomal RNA is filed under the name Staphylococcus aureus. RNAcentral describes it as "partial 23S ribosomal RNA". It matches the Rfam family "Bacterial large subunit ribosomal RNA", at positions 12 to 381 of the family's 2925-position model. The record is from RNAcentral. Lineage: Bacteria; Bacillati; Bacillota; Bacilli; Caryophanales; Staphylococcaceae.